GUCUGGAAAGGCGCGCGAUACAGGGUGACAGCCCCGUACACAAAAAUGCACAUAUUGUGAGCUCGAUGAGUAGGGCGGGACACGUGGUAUCCUGUCUGAAUAUGGGGGGACCAUCCUCCAAGGCUAAAUACUCCUGACUGACCGAUAGUGAACCAGUACCGUGAGGGAAAGGCGAAAAGAACCCCGGCGAGGGGAGUGAAAAAGAACCUGAAACCGUGUACGUACAAGCAGUGGGAGCCUCUUUAUGGGGUGACUGCGUACCUUUUGUAUAAUGGGUCAGCGACUUAUAUUCUGUAGCAAGGUUAACCGAAUAGGGGAGCCGAAGGGAAACCGAGUCUUAACUGGGCGUUAAGUUGCAGGGUAUAGACCCGAAACCCGGUGAUCUAGCCAUGGGCAGGUUGAAGGUUGGGUAACACUAACUGGAGGACCGAACCGACUAAUGUUGAAAAAUUAGCGGAUGACUUGUGGCUGGGGGUGAAAGGCCAAUCAAACCGGGAGAUAGCUGGUUCUCCCCGAAAGCUAUUUAGGUAGCGCCUCGUGAAUUCAUCUCCGGGGGUAGAGCACUGUUUCGGCAAGGGGGUCAUCCCGACUUACCAACCCGAUGCAAACUGCGAAUACCGGAGAAUGUUAUCACGGGAGACACACGGCGGGUGCUAACGUCCGUCGUGAAGAGGGAAACAACCCAGACCGCCAGCUAAGGUCCCAAAGUCAUGGUUAAGUGGGAAACGAUGUGGGAAGGCCCAGACAGCCAGGAUGUUGGCUUAGAAGCAGCCAUCAUUUAAAGAAAGCGUAAUAGCUCACUGGUCGAGUCGGCCUGCGCGGAAGAUGUAACGGGGCUAAACCAUGCACCGAAGCUGCGGCAGCGACACUAUGUGUUGUUGGGUAGGGGAGCGUUCUGUAAGCCUGUGAAGGUGGCCUGUGAGGGUUGCUGGAGGUAUCAGAAGUGCGAAUGCUGACAUAAGUAACGAUAAAGCGGGUGAAAAGCCCGCUCGCCGGAAGACCAAGGGUUCCUGUCCAACGUUAAUCGGGGCAGGGUGAGUCGACCCCUAAGGCGAGGCCGAAAGGCGUAGUCGAUGGGAAACAGGUUAAUAUUCCUGUACUUGGUGUUACUGCGAAGGGGGGACGGAGAAGGCUAUGUUGGCCGGGCGACGGUUGUCCCGGUUUAAGCGUGUAGGCUGGUUUUCCAGGCAAAUCCGGAAAACCAAGGCUGAGGCGUGAUGACGAGGCACUACGGUGCUGAAGCGACAAAUGCCCUGCUUCCAGGAAAAGCCUCUAAGCAUCAGGUAACAUCAAAUCGUACCCCAAACCGACACAGGUGGUCAGGUAGAGAAUACCAAGGCGCUUGAGAGAACUCGGGUGAAGGAACUAGGCAAAAUGGUGCCGUAACUUCGGGAGAAGGCACGCUGAUAUGUAGGUGAAGCGACUUGCUCGUGGAGCUGAAAUCAGUCGAAGAUACCAGCUGGCUGCAACUGUUUAUUAAAAACACAGCACUGUGCAAACACGAAAGUGGACGUAUACGGUGUGACGCCUGCCCGGUGCCGGAAGGUUAAUUGAUGGGGUUAGCGGUAACGCGAAGCUCUUGAUCGAAGCCCCGGUAAACGGCGGCCGUAACUAUAACGGUCCUAAGGUAGCGAAAUUCCUUGUCGGGUAAGUUCCGACCUGCACGAAUGGCGUAAUGAUGGCCAGGCUGUCUCCACCCGAGACUCAGUGAAAUUGAACUCGCUGUGAAGAUGCAGUGUACCCGCGGCAAGACGGAAAGACCCCGUGAACCUUUACUAUAGCUUGACACUGAACAUUGAGCCUUGAUGUGUAGGAUAGGUGGGAGGCUUUGAAGUGUGGACGCCAGUCUGCAUGGAGCCGACCUUGAAAUACCACCCUUUAAUGUUUGAUGUUCUAACGUUGGCCCGUAAUCCGGGUUGCGGACAGUGUCUGGUGGGUAGUUUGACUGGGGCGGUCUCCUCCUAAAGAGUAACGGAGGAGCACGAAGGUUGGCUAAUCCUGGUCGGACAUCAGGAGGUUAGUGCAAUGGCAUAAGCCAGCUUGACUGCGAGCGUGACGGCGCGAGCAGGUGCGAAAGCAGGUCAUAGUGAUCCGGUGGUUCUGAAUGGAAGGGCCAUCGCUCAACGGAUAAAAGGUACUCCGGGGAUAACAGGCUGAUACCGCCCAAGAGUUCAUAUCGACGGCGGUGUUUGGCACCUCGAUGUCGGCUCAUCACAUCCUGGGGCUGAAGUAGGUCCCAAGGGUAUGGCUGUUCGCCAUUUAAAGUGGUACGCGAGCUGGGUUUAGAACGUCGUGAGACAGUUCGGUCCCUAUCUGCCGUGGGCGCUGGAGAACUGAGGGGGGCUGCUCCUAGUACGAGAGGACCGGAGUGGACGCAUCACUGGUGUUCGGGUUGUCAUGCCAAUGGCACUGCCCGGUAGCUAAAUGCGGAAGAGAUAAGUGCUGAAAGCAUCUAAGCACGAAACUUGCCCCGAGAUGAGUUCUCCCUGAGACUUAGAGUCUCCUGAAGGAACGUUGAAGACGACGACGUUGAUAGGCCGGGUGUGUAAGCGCAGCGAUGCGUUGAGCUAACCGGUACUAAUGAACCGUGAGG
This 2593-nucleotide ribosomal RNA is filed under the name Escherichia coli. RNAcentral's name for it is "partial 23S ribosomal RNA". It matches the Rfam family "Bacterial large subunit ribosomal RNA", at positions 340 to 2915 of the family's 2925-position model. The record is from RNAcentral. Lineage: Bacteria; Pseudomonadati; Pseudomonadota; Gammaproteobacteria; Enterobacterales; Enterobacteriaceae.